UCCCGUUGGCGACGCCGGCGAGUAUUGC
RNAcentral lists this small RNA (28 nucleotides) under Bombyx mori (domestic silkworm). RNAcentral describes it as "ovarian small RNA-27350". The record is from RNAcentral. Lineage: Eukaryota; Metazoa; Arthropoda; Insecta; Lepidoptera; Bombycidae.